CCUCAAGUGUUCCACCCGCCUUGGCCUCCCAAAGUGCUGGGAUUACAGGCAUGAGCCCACUGCACCUGGCCCUCUCUGGAAAUUAUUUUAAUAAGUGGAAAAAGAACAUUAACCUCUCCCCAUCUUCUCAGUGUGUCUUUUUAUUAUGUCUUUGCUGAAAUAAUGUAGAAUUGUGUUUUUUAGGUAAAUAUUGCAGAUUUUCAAGAGAAUCAGUGGGUGACUUGUUUCCAGGAGUCUGCCGAAGCUAUCCUUGGACAAAAUGCUGCUUAUCUUGGGGAAUUAAAAGACAAGAAUGAACAGGCAUUUGAAGAAGUUUUCCAGAAUGCCAACUUCCGAUCUUUCAUAUUCAGAGUCAGGGUCAAAGUGGAGACCUACAACGACGAGUCUCGAAUUAAGGCCACUGUGAUGGACGUGAAGCCCGUGGACUACAGAGAGUAUGGCCGAAGGCUGGUCAUGAGCAUCAGGAGAAGUGCAUUGAUGUGAGGGGAGCAGUGCCGAUCGGGCAGAAGUUUGCAAAUAAAGAGGCAGAAUGGAAUCGAUUUCCUCCCACCUCCGUGUGACGAUCCCAUGUUAGCUACACAGUGCAGAGGCUCUUGAUGGUGGACUAAGCAAUUUCCUCUCUCGUGCGCAUCUCAGAACCCAUCGGUAGGCAAAGGAAAAUACACUCAGGUGGUUGUGGUGUAGACUGUGUCAGGCCUAGGGAGUCAGCCGGUGGUUAGUGUAAGACCAGUCACUCCCUCUGCCUUCAGGCUUCUGUCAAUUUCAUUAUCAUCAAGCAGGAAUUAUGUCGUAAGUCACUGACCCUAACUGCAGACCAUGAAGUAAAUUAUGUAGCUAGGUUUUUGCUU
This 848-nucleotide small RNA is filed under the name Pan troglodytes (chimpanzee). Its description in RNAcentral is "retained intron". Lineage: Eukaryota; Metazoa; Chordata; Mammalia; Primates; Hominidae. The record is from RNAcentral.